Molecule: ribosomal RNA, 591 nt
Filed under: Triticum aestivum (bread wheat)
Lineage: Eukaryota; Viridiplantae; Streptophyta; Magnoliopsida; Poales; Poaceae
Description: partial small subunit ribosomal RNA
Source: RNAcentral
AUGCAGAACCUCAUCUUUGAGGGCGGUGUGCCGGCCACUGGCUAUGAUCCCGACGAGACACAAAGCCAGGACGGUCGUGGGCUGUUCACGCCGGCCGCUGGCUAUGAUCCCGACCAGGCGUCCUUCCUGCGUGAUCAGGUCGGCAUCGACCUGGACGGCUUCCCACUCGACCACGAGUUCCCGGACGACUACGGGCUAGAGGAAGAGGACGAGUGUGACAUCGAAGUGCCUUUGCUCGAGGACGAGCUCGCCAACCAAGCCGCCGUUCCUAAGCCGAAGUGCAAGAGCAAGCUCACGAAGUCAUACACGGCUGCCGAGGACAAGCUUCUUUGCGAGUGCUGGUGAGACAUUGGACAAGACCCCAAGACGGGCGUCGAACAAAAGCAUUCAACCUUUUGGAUUCGUGUCCAUCGAGAGUUUCAUGAGCGCAAGAAAUUUCCGCCUUACCAAUUUGUGAGCACGCGUGGGUGGGUGUCCAUUUCCAAGCGAUGGAGGGUGAUACAACAAGAGUGCAACAAGUUUUGUGCCACUCUUGAGAGCGUCAAGGCCCGUCCCGUGAGCGGCAUCGGCAUGCAAGACAUGGUAUGCUAG